Molecule: ribosomal RNA, 460 nt
Filed under: uncultured bacterium
Lineage: Bacteria
Description: partial 16S ribosomal RNA
Rfam family: Bacterial small subunit ribosomal RNA
Source: RNAcentral
CCUACGGGAGGCAGCAGUGAGGAAUAUUGGUCAAUGGACGAGAGUCUGAACCAGCCAAGUAGCGUGAAGGAUGACUGCCCUAUGGGUUGUAAACUUCUUUUAUAAAGGAAUAAAACGAGGCACGUGUGCCUUUUUGCAUGUACUUUAUGAAUAAGGAUCGGCUAACUCCGUGCCAGCAGCCGCGUUAAUACGGAGGAUCCGAGCGUUAUCCGGAUUUUUUGGGUUUAAAGGGAGCGUAGAUGGGUUGUUAAGUCAGUUGUGAAAGUUUGCGGCUCAACCGUAAAAUUGCAAUUGAUACUGGCAGUCUUGAGUACAGUUGAGGUAGGCGGAAUUCGUGGUGUAGCGGUGAAAUGCUUAGAUAUCACGAAGAACCCCGAUUGUGAAGGCAGCUUACUAAACUGUGACUGACAUUGAUGCUCGAAAGUGUGGGUAUCAAACAGGAUUAGAUACCCUUGUAGUC